CAAUUCAAAUAAAACGUCUAAAAUUCUAUUUCGAUUUUUAAGAAAUAUUUUUCAAUAAUAUAUUAUGGAUCUCCUUAGAUGUUUCGUUUUCAGAUAAACUCCAUACGGUUCCCCCAUGCUUUUUGUUUCUCCAUUUAGCGGAGUCCCAAAGUCGUUCAAUAUGCUGAGUAUGGACCCCAGUAACUGAGCGGUACUCGCGGCGUCCAGAGGUAGUCGGGAUAACGGAAAAGUACCGUAAUUUUAAGUAGUAAUAACAAUAAUCACUAAUACAUUAAAUAAACUAUGAAUUUCAAUCAAUAUGUUUUUUUUUAUACUACAUUAAUUCCCAUCUUAAAAAAGUAAUCCUAUAUUGUAGUAUUGAGACUGAAUAAGUCAUUUUUCAUUAAAAUUUCAAUUUCAAAGAUUUACAUAUUUAAUAUUUUUUUACUUAUGCUUUAAACCCGAUUAUGUUUAAUCCAGACAGGGUGUAGUCCCUUCAAGUCUGGAUUUGAGAGAUUAAACUGUACUUGCAAACUCAUUUUACUAAUAGAAAGUUGUUAAAAUAUUAAGUUCUGACUUUAAUCUGCUAUAACUUAUGAGCAUUAAGUAAAAUUUACUCCAUGACACAGUUCCGAAUUAGUGAACAUAUUUACUUUCGAGCUAGUGUGUACUUU
Molecule: non-coding RNA, 653 nt
Organism: Cinara cedri
Lineage: Eukaryota; Metazoa; Arthropoda; Insecta; Hemiptera; Aphididae
Source: the annotation of a GenBank genome assembly